AAGCCACUUAUUCAUCAGAGAUUGGAUUUAAACCUCCUUGGUUGAUUAGAUUCCUUGAUAUAUGUGGCAUGGAGGCUGCAAUCACAAUUCAGGGAGUUUACGUUUUGACCCACAUACUGGUAGCUUGGAUUUUCUUCUCUGUGGUAACUCCUGAGAGAGCACAGCCUUAGGUAUGCACAUAGUCUUCCAGAUUACCAGGGAUGUGCAUGAUUUUAUUUUUAAUCCUGGCUUCCUAGUAGUUGCCUCUGAGUCAGAGUAGUUUAUUGUUCAAGCAGUAUUUGUUCAGAGGUUGGCCCUAAGCCCCUAGUGCUGGUGGGGCUUCAGCUGUUUGCUGAUGGAUCUGUGUUCUGGUUGGCAAAUGAUUUUCAGUCUUCCUGUUCCUGAGCAGGUUCAGCCUGGGGCUUGCACACAAACUUCUAGAUGACCCAGAGAUAAGUGUGAUCCAAGGAGGGCUCUUCUUGGCAAUCUUUUUCCCUGAUUCUUCCUGUUAAAUUUCUGGUUGUUCUGCCAUUUUGCUUGUUGCUACUAGUAUUAUGGAGCUAUGAGCAUACUCUUUAAUUUUCUCCACCAAGAUCUCUGUUGUUUCAGACAACAUCAUUGAGCUGGAAUUCUUUAUCCUCUCUUCUAAAUAAGGUCAGUCCCUUAAAUACAGCUGGGGAGGUUUUCAUCCUGCCUUUCCUCCGAACAGAACUUCUGCACCACUGCACAGAAGCUGGAGGUGGAGACAGAAGCCCACUUCUAGAAUGACACCCUGCUCUACAGGUAGACGUGGGCUGGGGGGAAGGAGGUGGCAGCCCCCUGGAGCUCCUGGUCUUCCUAGCUUGUGCAUUCUGGUAUGGAACUUCCACUCUGACAGCAAGUUGGAGAAGGGGCAACUGGAGCCCCGUGUUCUUGGGACUCAUGCACCUGGAGUUGAAAUUUCACCCUAUGAGUAGAGGCAAAGUAGAAGAAGGGAGUCACAAUUGUCUCUCUCAAUCACCUCCACUAGGCAUAGAGCUUUUGCAUUCCUAGUGGAGGAAGGAGAAGGUGUGAAAUGUGGGUGGCCUGCCCUUCCUGGGGUGAUACCAAGGACCUAUGUAUGCUAGGACCUGCAGGGACAGGGAGCCCACUUCUUGACCACAGCCACCAGAGCAGAUAACCUUGAGAAGUUUCCAUAAGACAGUGCUGACGGUGGGUAGGGGGAACAAGUCACGGCUCCAAUGCCACAGACUCCUGCUGUUCUGAAGGAUAUUUAGUAGAUUUUCUUGAAAGAAUGUUUUUCCAUUUGCAUAUUUCCUUAGGACAGUUUGUAAAAAAAAAUUUAAAUAAUUAUAAUUUUCUCCAGUCAAAUAGUUGUUUUGCUAGGGAAAGAAAAUGUUGCACUCAACACUUUGCCAUUCUGGAAGGAAGCCUCAAUCCACACAUUUUUUAAAAACUUCAAGUAGUUGCCAACAUACAAAUCCAGAUUUCUUGUCUCUCUGACAAAGCAAAUAUUUAUCUCACUGCAACCACUUUUCCAGCAGAUAGCCCCUGCUCUGUCCAGGGCCAGGGUUGCUGCAGUUACUCACAGCGUAGCUCACUGUUCACCCGUUCACCAUCGCCCUCACCCAAAAUGCUCACAACAUGUAUGUUGGCAGGCAUUUGAAUUGCACCCUCUGAAACUGCAAGGGAAUUUUAGGCAAAAGCCAAAAUGCAGGUGAAUGCCAGGGACACAAAAAAGCACACACUCCUUGGAGAACUGCCCUGCUUAGUAGUAGUGCCAAGAGAUAUGAGGACGGACAGACCAGAGGGGCUGGACAUUGGAAGCUAGGAAGACUGGACUUCAUCCUAGAGGGACUAAAGGGUUUUAAGCAAAGGAUUGGUAUGACCAAAUUAACAUUUUAAAGAAACCAUUCAGGCUGCCAUGAGGACAACAGAAGGUAAUCAGCCACAUGUGGACGCCAUAAUACAGGUGGGAGGGUGUGAAGACCUCACCUAAGGCCAACCCUGGAGAAAGAAAGAAGCGAAAGGAAGAUACUUUCAAUCUGAUUUCCUCAUCUCAUUCAUUAUUCAAAUGUGGUGGGCAGGUGGAAGUUGAAGGGGCAAUACUAGACCACAAAAAAAUUCUCAGAUUCUAGCAAUACCCGCACACAAAUCACUUGGGGAUCUUGUUAAAGUGCAGCCUCUCAUCAGUAGGUCUGAGCGGGGUCUGAGAUCCUGAAUUUCUUCCAGGCUCCCAAGUGAUACCAAUGCUGUAAGAGGGUGGUACAGUAAGAGUAGGAGCAGAGUCUCCAGAAAGACCUGUGUUCACUCGAGUCACAGCUGUCACUUUCUAUCUGCAUGAUCUUUUUGUGCUUCUCUUCCUUUCCUUAUUUAUAAGACGGUGAGGGUGGUGGUUAGUAGCAGUAGUAUUGGUAGUAAUAGUAGGAGGAGAAGGAGUAAUCCUCACAUCAUAGUAUUAUUAUGAGGUUCAAAUGUGGUAAUGUGCAUAAGGGCUCAGAGUAAAAGAAGCUCCAUAAAGGUUAUCUGCUAUUCUUACCACUUUGCUGGUUAUUUUUGUUCUUGUUGUCAUUAUUACGUAGACAAUGGCAACAUUCACUGAGCUAGGAGCAAUAAGAGGAGAAAAAGAAGUGGAUCAGCUUAGGUUUGGCCAUGUGGAGUCUGAGAUGCCUCUGAGUCACCCCAUGGAAUUCCCUGGUAGGUCACUACAUAUAUGGCCCUGGAGCCUCAGAAGAACAGUCUGGAUUACAGUCCUGUGGAUUCGGGAGUCACUGCCAUGUAAGUGGCGAAUUCGUAAGUGGAUAAAAUCACCUUAACUACCAGCAGAAACGAGCCUUGGACUAAAGCCUGAGGAUGAUGAAUAUUUAAAGCACAGGCAGAGGAGCCUGGCAGAGAUGAACUUUAAAUUCUUUAAAGCCUAGUGGCAGUUCUUAAUGUCUGGUACGGGAUGGUUAUACAAUAAAUCUGUAUUUAAUUGUGAGUAAGAAUAGGUGAUUAUGUUAAAUGGAAGACUGAUUAAAAUUCUGCUGAACUUCUCUUUCCUCUAAUCCACAUAAUCACAUCAGUGACUUCAGAUUUUCUCUCCUCUGCCCUGUUUCCUGUGCAUCUUUUGCAUAUUCUUGGCUAUAUUUGAAAUGCUUUCACGACACUUCUCUUAUCCGUACCCACAUUUUCUUACCCACCGUAUAUCAAUCAAAAGAGGUAGGAAAUGUGCCUCCCGUGGUUCCAAAAGAAUAAUCUCUCCCUCCUCCCUGCAUCACCAGUACCUGGCCUGGAAUGUGUAGACCAGCACUGUCCAGUAGAAUUUUCUGCAAUGACGAAAUGUUUUAUAUCUAUCCUAUACAUAACGAUAGCUACUAGCCACAUGUGCCUAUCAAGCACUUAUAAUACGGCUAAUGUAACCAAAACCUAAAUGCUUAAUUGAAUUUUAAUUAAUUUACAUUUAAGUAGCCAUAUGUGACUAGUAGCUAUCAUAUUGAACAUUGCAGCAGAAGAUACUGAAAAAGUAUUUGUUGGUUGGAUGACAUCUAGAGGAACAGAUCUCUAGCCACUCCUCCCAGCAGAGAAUCACAGUGUACCACCUCAAGCAAAUAAUUUUAAUUAAUUUACAUUUAAGUAGCCAUGUGUGACUAGUAGCUAUCAUACUGAACGGUGCAGCAGAAGAUACUGAAAAAGUGUUUGUUGGUUGGAUGACAUCUAGAGGAACAGAUCUCUAGCCACUCCUCCCAGCAGAGAAUCACAGUGUACCACCUCAAGCAAAUAAUUUUAAUUAAUUUACAUUUAAGUAGCCAUGUGUGACUAGUAGCUAUCAUACUGAACGGUGCAGCAGAAGAUACUGAAAAAGUGUUUGUUGGUUGGAUGACAUCUAGAGGAACAGAUCUCUAGCCACUCCUCCCAGCAGAGAAUCACAGUGUACCACCUCAAGCAAAUAAUUUUAAUUAAUUUACAUUUAAGUAGCCAUGUGUGACUAGUAGCUAUCAUAUUGAACAGUGCAGCAGAAGAUACUGAAAAAGUGUUUGUUGGUUGGAUGACAUCUAGAGGAACAGAUCUCUAGCCACUCCUCCCGGCAGAGAAUCACAGUGUACCACCUCAAGCAAAUAAUUUUAAUUAAUUUACAUUUAAGUAGCCAUGUGUGACUAGUAGCUAUCAUAUUGAACAGUGCAGCAGAAGAUACUGAAAAAGUGUUUGUUGGUUGGAUGACAUCUAGAGGAACAGAUCUCUAGCCACUCCUCCCGGUGGAGAAUCACAGUGUACCAUCUCAAGCAAUGGGAGAGAACAAUGGCUUAAGGACAUAAGGUAAGUUCUAUGUGCUACAGCUGGAAAGAUAAACUUUAUUCAUAUCACAAUUUUGCCUGAAACUACUGUCGUGUGGAACACAUAAACUAAUUUGUAUACAUGCAAACAGGCUUUAACCAAUCACAAAAUAUGUAUUCUUACAUUGGGAUUUUCUAAGGCAAAUUAUGCCAGCCACAUAAUUUCCCUUAGAAAAUCCCAAUGUGAGAAUAUAUAUUACAUUGGGAGGGCCAGCUUUAUGGUAUGCAACCUGUGCAGUCACACAGGACCCCACACAUAGGUCUCCCCUAUUGAUUUCAUUCAUUACUUUUAUCAUCCUGAAAUUCUUAAUUAUUUUUUAAUGAAGGUCCCUCAUUUUCAUUUUGCACUGGGCUCUGCAAAUUGUGCAGGUGGUCCUGUUCACAGCAGGACUAAUUAGCCUGGCCAACAUGGCAUGAUGAAGUGAGAUUUAUUUCAGGGAUGCGAUGCAAAGAUAGUCCAACAUACACAAAUCUCUAUAUGUAAUAAACCACAUUAACAGAAUGAAGGACAAAAACUAUAUGAUCAUCUCAAUAGAUGCGAAAAAUCACUUAACAAAAACUCAACAUUUUUUCAUGAUAAAAAAUCUCAACUAAUUAGGUAUAGAAGAAUUGUACCUUCAAUACAAUAAAGGUCAUAUGACAAACCCACAGCUAACAUCAUACUCAAUGAGGAAAAAUUGAGAGCUUUUCCUCUAAGGUCAGGAACAAGACAAGAAUGCUCGCUCUCACAUUUGUAUUCAACAUGCUUCUAGAAGUCCUAGCGAGAGCAAUCAGGCAAGAGAAAGAAAUAAAAGGCAUCAAAAUUGGGAAAGAAGUGUAGAUUGUCCCUGUUUGCAGAUGACAUGAUCUAUAUAUAUAAAGCCCUAAAGAACCCACUACAAAUGGUUAAAACUAAUAAACAAAUUCAGUAAAGUUGCAAAAUCAACAUACAAAAAUCAGUAGCCUUACUAUACACUGACAGCAAACUGUCGAAAAAGGAAAUCAAGCAAUUCUAUAUAUGAUAGCUAUACAAACACUUAAUACUUAUGAAUACAUUUAACCAAGGAGGUGAAAGAUAUCUACAUAGAAAACUUUAAAAUACUGGUGAAUGAAAUUAAAGAAACACAAAUAAAUGAAAAAUCAUCUCAGGCCGGGGGCGGUGGCUCACGCUUGUAAUCCCAGCACUUUGGGAGGCCGAGGCAGGCAGAUCACAAGGUCAGGAGAUAGAGACCAUGGUGAAACCCCGUCUCUACUAAAAAUACAAAAAAUUAGCUGGGCGUGGUGGUGGGCGCCUGUAGUCCCAGCUACUCGGAGAGGCUGAGGCA
This 5575-nucleotide long non-coding RNA is filed under the name Homo sapiens (human). Its description in RNAcentral is "HSALNT0184555". The record is from RNAcentral. Lineage: Eukaryota; Metazoa; Chordata; Mammalia; Primates; Hominidae.